Molecule: ribosomal RNA, 113 nt
Filed under: Acanthosepion pharaonis
Lineage: Eukaryota; Metazoa; Mollusca; Cephalopoda; Sepiida; Sepiidae
Source: RNAcentral
UUACGGCCAUAUCACCUUGAAACAUUGGUUCCCGUACGAUCACCGGAGUUAAGCAGCGUCGAAUCUAGUCACUGCCUAGACGGGUGACCGCUUGGGAAUACCAGGUGCUGUAA